AUAAUUCGAUUUAUAUUAUUAUUUAAAAAUUUAUAUAUAGACUCUUUUAAAAUAAUUUUUAUAUUUUGCAUUAUUUGAAUGCUCGCUCAAAACUCAGAUAUUCAAAAUUUAAAUUUAAACAAAGCAAUCAAAAUAUAAAAACUAUAUAGAAAGUCAAAAGUAUUAGUGGACAAUAAAUUAUAAAUUUAAAUUUUGAGACAAAAAUAUAAUUAUAUAAACACUUCUAUAUAAAACUGCAUAAAUAAACUUUGACCUUAUCAAUAGCUCAACUUUUCUUAUCAUCAAAUUACAAAGGCAGCUGUGCGCCAUAGCGUGUUUUCACUGUGCCCCGACAAAAUCCCAUCUAAUGCCCCACAUUUACAUUUAUCUAAAUGUUAUUUUAAGCCCAAAUCUAAAUUGUUUAAAUAACACUUUGAUUUCCUUAUCUAGAAUUUAACGUUCACGUAUAAUUUAUUUAAAUACAUGCAUUAAAAUAUUAUUUGAUUGAUGUAUGAGUGUGCGGCGCGAACGGUAAUAAGACUCGCCCACGCACCUAGACAUUUGAUAGUUUUUUCUGAACCGUUGCAGCCAAACAGCCAAGUGAUAAAGACAAAGUGUUCAAGACAAAAUGUAAUAAAUAUAUAAUUAAAUAUACAACAAGAAAAACACCAAUAACAACAACAGCAAACGAAAACAAAAUCAAAUCAGUAACAAACAAAAAAAUUAUAUAUAAUAAUAAUGUUGAACAGCACUCAAAAGAUGUCAAGUCAAAGAUGCGCACAAUUAGCUUAAAAAAGACAACGACAACAGCAACAACAACAACAGCACGCAGAGCAAAUAAAUAAAAACAACAACAACAGCCAGAAUUUACAAGCAAAAGGAUAAUCACAAAAAAGCACAAGCAUAAAA
This is a long non-coding RNA of Drosophila mojavensis, 888 nucleotides long. RefSeq lists it as uncharacterized. The transcript is spliced from 2 exons. The record is from RefSeq and is a predicted model, not a curated record. Lineage: Eukaryota; Metazoa; Arthropoda; Insecta; Diptera; Drosophilidae.